This 254-nucleotide ribosomal RNA is filed under the name Enterococcus faecalis. RNAcentral's name for it is "partial 23S ribosomal RNA". It matches the Rfam family "Bacterial large subunit ribosomal RNA", at positions 261 to 516 of the family's 2925-position model. Lineage: Bacteria; Bacillati; Bacillota; Bacilli; Lactobacillales; Enterococcaceae. The record is from RNAcentral.
GGAAGAGCCCAAACCAACAAGCUUGCUUGUUGGGGUUGUAGGACUCCAAUAUGGUAGUCUGUUAGUAUAGUUGAAGGAUUUGGAAAAUUCCGCUAAAGAGGGUGAAAGCCCCGUAGACGAAAUGCUGACAACACCUAGGAGGAUCCUGAGUACGGCGGAACACGAGAAAUUCCGUCGGAAUCCGCGGGGACCAUCCCGCAAGGCUAAAUACUCCCUAGUGACCGAUAGUGAACCAGUACCGUGAGGGAAAGGUG